This 478-nucleotide ribosomal RNA is filed under the name uncultured soil bacterium. Its description in RNAcentral is "bacterial SSU rRNA". It matches the Rfam family "Bacterial small subunit ribosomal RNA", at positions 26 to 518 of the family's 1533-position model. The record is from RNAcentral.
AGGAUGAACGCUGGCGGCGUGCCUAAUACAUGCAAGUCGAGCGCCCCUUUAAGAGGUGACAAUCAACGAUUGUCGGUUCCUAUGGGGAGCGGCGGACGGCUGAGUAACGCGUGGGAACGUGCCCCAAAGUGAGGGAUAAGCACCGGAAACGGUGUCUAAUACCGCAUAUGAUCUUCGGAUUAAAGCUUUAUGCGCUUUGGGAGCGGCCUGCGUCCUAUUAGAUAGUUGGUGAGGUAAAGGCUCACCAAGUCAACGAUGGGUAGCUGGUCUGAGAGGAUGACCAGCCAGACUGGAACUGAGACACGGUCCAGACUCCUACGGGAGGCAGCAGUAAGGAAUCUUCACAAUGGGCGAAAGCCUGAUGGAGCAACGCCGCGUGCAGGAUGAAGGCCUUCGGUCGUAAACUGCUUUUAUGAGUGAAGAAUAUGAACGGUAACUCAUGAAAGUAAGGUACGGCUAACUACGUGCCAGCAGCCGC